Molecule: ribosomal RNA, 454 nt
Filed under: uncultured bacterium
Lineage: Bacteria
Description: bacterial SSU rRNA
Rfam family: Bacterial small subunit ribosomal RNA
Source: RNAcentral
AGCCGAGCGGUAUUUAUUCUUCGGAAUAAGAGAGCGGCGUACGGGUGCGUAACACGUGUGCAACCUGCCUUUAUCUGGGAGAUAGCCCUCCGAAAGGGGGAUUAAUAUUCCAUAAUAUCUCGUUGGGCAUCCAACGAGAUUGAAAGCUCCGGCGGAUAGAGAUGGGCACGCGCAAGAUUAGAUAGUUGGUGAGGUAACGGCUCACCAAGUCUGCGAUCUUUAGGGGGCCUGAGAGGGUGAUCCCCCACACUGGUACUGAGACACGGACCAGACUCCUACGGGAGGCAGCAGUGAGGAAUAUUGGACAAUGGGUGCAAGCCUGAUCCAGCCAUCCCGCGUGAAGGAUUAAGGUCCUAUGGAUUGUAAACUUCUUUUAUACAGGGAUAAACCUCUCCUCGUGAGGAGAGCUGAAGGUACUGUAUGAAUAAGCACCGGCUAACUCCGUGCCAGCAGC